AUCUCUUCAUUUUCCAAUAGAAGAAUGACAAAUCGAAUUUUUCUUCCUAAUUUUUAGCAGUGUUACAGGAGAAAAAAAAGUUGAAAAUUAUGAGGAAAAAAUCCAAUUUGUCAUUCUUCUAUUGAAAAUGAAUAGGGAUA
Molecule: microRNA precursor, 140 nt
Filed under: Gossypium raimondii (Peruvian cotton)
Lineage: Eukaryota; Viridiplantae; Streptophyta; Magnoliopsida; Malvales; Malvaceae
Description: miR8777 stem-loop (gra-MIR8777)
Source: miRBase by way of RNAcentral